ACAUGCAAGUCGAGCGAAUGAUGAGGAGCUUGCUCCUCUGAUUUAGCGGCGGACGGGUGAGUAACACGUGGGUAAUCUGCCUGUAAGACGGGGAUAACUCCGGGAAACCGGGGCUAAUACCGGAUAACAAGAGAAGAUGCAUAUCUUCUUUUUGAAAGUCGGUUUCGGCUGACACUUACAGAUGAGCCCGCGGCGCAUUAGCUAGUUGGUGAGGUAACGGCUCACCAAGGCGACGAUGCGUAGCCGACCUGAGAGGGUGAUCGGCCACACUGGGACUGAGACACGGCCCAGACUCCUACGGGAGGCAGCAGUAGGGAAUCUUCGGCAAUGGGCGAAAGCCUGACCGAGCAACGCCGCGUGAGCGAUGAAGGCCUUCGGGUCGUAAAGCUCUGUUGUUAGAGAAGAACAAGUACGAGAGUAACUGCUCGUACCUUGACGGUACCUAACCAGAAAGCCACGGCUAACUACGUGCCAGCAGCCGCGGUAAUACGUAGGUGGCAAGCGUUAUCCGGAAUUAUUGGGCGUAAAGCGCGCGCAGGCGG
Molecule: ribosomal RNA, 542 nt
Filed under: Bacillus sp. 4-20
Lineage: Bacteria; Bacillati; Bacillota; Bacilli; Caryophanales; Bacillaceae
Description: bacterial SSU rRNA
Rfam family: Bacterial small subunit ribosomal RNA
Source: RNAcentral